GGAGGGGGGCAGCGGCAGAGAAAGGCCUCGCCCAGGGCUGGGGGCACGUCCCGCUGGCCUCGGCUGGUAUCCCGGGCCACGGGUGGCCUUGGGGCGCGGGGUUGCGCAGUGUCCCUGGGCGUGGGACGCACGGCGGAGGCUCUGGCCCUGGGAGGGCGCCCCAGGGCUCGGGAGGAGCCCCGGACUUCCAGAUUGUUCUGGGACUUCCAGGGCACAGCCCCGGCCGCCGGCACCCGGCAGGUCCCGAAUACCUUGCGUUAACCUCGCCCCUCGCUCCCCUCCACCCCUGAGCGACACACCCCGCAGGACCCCCUAGCUGCCACUCGGGUCCGUUCCCCAGCCGAAUCCGUCAGAGCGGGGUCCAGGACCGGGCUUCGGGAAGGAGGAAGCGCAGGGUCCGGUGAGACACCCCCCCCCCCCCAGGGAACGCGGCCUCGCCAGCGGACGGGGAACAGCUAUUCCAGACGCCUCUGCCUCCGGGAGACGCGGGCCAAGAUGGAAAUGUGUAGAAGCUCUGGGGCCACCGUGGAGAUGUGAGCUGUCAGGGACCGUCUGCGGGUCUAGAAGGUCUGAGACAGUAUUUGGCUGGAGGACCCAGUUGGCAUCUCCGCCCCCAGCCCCAAGCCUGUGCCCCCCGAGUCCUCGCCAGCAGCUGAUUCUGGAGGAGCACCAGGUCUCAAAGCCAAGCAAACAAGCCUCUGGCCAGGAGCUUGCCUUACAGUAAAGGGCUUGAGGGUGUCUUUUCAAAAGUGUGAGUGUGUGAGAGAGUGUGUGUGUGUGUGUGUGUGUGUGUGUGUGUGUGUGUUUCUUAGUGUGGCUUAUAAGGUGUAAAGUUUUAAGUAAAACACCGGUUAAUUUGAAGGAGGACAACUGAGAAAUCAUAAAAUAAAUGACAGUGAAACAAAGAAGAGAUCAAAUAGACUACACUUUUACAAUGAAACUCUAACAAAGAGGUGACAGAAAAAUAAAUGGAAAUGAGUCAAAUGAAAAGUCAUAGGACUAACGAAGAGAAAUGUCAGAUGCAAAUAACUGACAAGUUAUAACUACCAGAAGAGCACGGUUAGCACUAUACACACUGCAACAGGAGAUAAGAAACUGUGUUACUGUUUUAACAAUAGCUACUAAGAUCUUCUGAAUGCUGUGUGAGUAUGCAAUGCCAGACAGGCAUCCAUUUAUUCCUAUCUGUGUCCUAUCCACCCAGUGAAGACUGACACAUGCAGACCAUGUGCUGAACAAAUGAGGGUGGCAGAUGCUGAAAAUGACCUACCUCAAGCCUAACCAUGAUGGUUUGAGGAACACUGUCCACAUUUACUAAACUAAUUCAUACUUGUUAUUAAUACUAAAAGCCCCAAAUCAAAACUUUCUCUUUUCUGGUAAAAGGUCAACUGAAAUCUAAAAAAAAUAUAGAACCUGACUUUUCUAGUAAGUUGUAAUAAUUGUCUCAUGAGAAAUACAAGUUUUAGAACACUGAUCUUCCCACAUUCAUUUUUUGACAUUCCAUUUCUCUGGUGAGAGUAAAAACUGACAGAAAUAAUGUUAUACUGGCAACCACAGCCUGACUACCAGUGAAUACCCCGAUCACAUCUGAUAAGGCAUCUCUUAUCAGGUUUGAUGUAGUUUUCUAAAAUCUAGAAAUAGUUCAGCUCCGCCCCAUGGAAGUGUAAGUUGUUUGAAUACAUCACCACUCUCUGAUGAUGUCCAUUUACUCCCUAUACCUGCCAUGGCUUGAAUUGUGCCCUACAAAAAGGCCUGUUCAAGUUCCUGACCCCCAUCCUGUGAGUGGGACCCUAUUUGGAAAUAGGGACUUUGAGAUGUGAUGAGUCCAGAUGAGGCCCCACUGGAGUGGGGGGGGUCCUCACCGAGGAUGAGUGGUGGACACAGACAUGGGGGAGAUGGAGGCAGAAUCUGGAGCCAAGGCUUGCGGGCAACACCUGUGGCCAGAGGAGGCAAGGAAGGGUUCAGCCCCCUGGGGGUUUCAGAAGGAGCAGGGCCAAGAUGAUGUGCUGAUUUGGGCCUCCAGACUCCAGAACUGUGAGACAAUCAAUUUCUGUAGUUUUAAGCCCUCAGUUUGUCACAGCAGCCCCAGAAGCCACCACAACGCCGUAGGCUGGAACAACAAUCUCCAUGGACCUCAGUCAGAAGACACCAGCAAGCCAAAGGGGAACUGCUGGAGGUAGGGUGCUCCCGUGGCGGGCACCAAUCUCUUCAUUGCUAUUGAUUCUCCCUGCCUCCAAAUUAGCUCACUAGGCCCCGCUCCACCUAGAAUGAAUGGCGGCUGCCUUCUUAGAGUGGAAGUCUCAGCUUCUCACACCAACAUCCUAUACAGGUAAAUGUUACACACAGUGAUUUCAUUUUUCACCUGUGGUGCAAAUUCAUAAAAACAAACGACUGUAGCUUUUACUGAUCUUCACUUAUCCUUUGACAGUGAACAGCAACCAAUCGUGUGCUAAGGUGAAUGUGCUCACUUCAGAUUCCUGGUUACUCAUGUUUAUACAGAGCCUGCAGAGAAGUCAGGUAGAAAGAGUCUCUUGGAUAAUUUUCCGUGCAAUAAAAAAUCUUGCCCAUUUCUUUUAUGUAUUUGUAUCUUAAUAAGCUAGCUAUUUUUCAUUUUACCUAUUAAAAAGCACAUAAAGAGACGCUAUGAUGGGCAGUUAAUGGCUUUCCCAUCACCAAUUACAAGGGACAUCUAGCUCUGAAGGUACAGGAUGAAAAAGAAGAGUUACAGAUAGGCAUUAUUUUAUUAGCACCUAGCUAUUUUUCACUUAUUUAAUCUUGUUGGGUUUUGUGUUUUGUUAAUGAAAAUAAGCUUCAUUACAUCAAUACAUUCAAAGAUACAGUUCUAGUCAUUUUUUUCCCAGAUGUUUUGAUGAACGUAUAAUAAACCCAAACUGAAUUCUACAUAUAGUCUUAGUAUGAAAACUUCCAGGGGGACUUAUUAAGUUUACUAUGUUGCCCUUCCUCCUGUAUUUUUAAUUUAUGCAUUUUUCCUAACUAUUUAAAAUGCAAAUACUAAUCAACCGCACAAUCUUUUCCUCAUCUUAGAGGCUAGGCUGUAGGUUCAGAGCCUAGUGAACUAUGGGAGGGAAAUGGAAAAAAAACAAAUGGUUACCAUUUUGAAAACAAGAGUUUCUUCUGAUGAGGGGAGACAAACUGUAACUUCUCAUCUUGUGAAAAGAUGACAAGCCCUCAAAGCUAACAAGGCGGCUGGAAUCUGGCAUUGUUUCAGCCAAGACUCCCACAUGGGCCUCCAGCACGAAUGGGGACUCGUUUUGGCCUCUCCACGGCACUCUGGCUCCCCGUGUAGGCAGGUCCGAUCUCCUUCCCCAGCUCUUCAAUGGCGGCCAGUAGUACACUGUGUUUUGAUGUGCCUGGUGGUGCUGUAAGGACAUCCCCACAUUGGAAGGAGAGUGAGCACCCCAGUCCUGCUGAAGGAGGCUGUGGUGAGGAAGCUCCGUGGCCCCGGGCCAGGCUACCCGGCACUUUUCGUGGCUGACGGUUCAGGUUGCACCAGCAAACGUGGCUGUCUUCUUAGUUUUUUAAACUGAUGGUUUUCUCUGCUUUAGAUACUUUUACUAUUUUAAUACAGAGAUGGCAAACUGUAUUGACAGUCAUUUAAAUGAUAGGUCAAGACCUGUUUAUUGGGUCAUGAAGGUGACCUAAUUGAGUGGUGAUCAACAAUGCUUUUUUUUUUUCAAAAAAAUAUUAAAUAGAAGAUGUAAAUAUGAAAGCUACUACAGUAAAGAAGUUAACUGAAAUGUUAACCAAAGUAGAAAGACGUAUGUCAGUGAUGAUCAUUCGGGAUUUAGAAAAAUUUAUCUGAAGGCCUUUGAACUGCAAUUAAAUAGCAGAAUCUGCUUCCCAAACAGAACUUAGUAAUAAUAUUCAGAUCUGACACUUGCAUUGCUGUGUGGAUAGGAAGUUUUCUCUGUUUUCAAAAAUGGACUGAUAUCUUUUCAUUUUUUUGAAGGGUACGUUAAGGAGGGAUCUCAAAGAGGAAAGGAAAAGAACUAAUUUAUGCUAGGAGCUAUCUGAAUGAGGAUUCUCGAAGCUUUUCACUACCAGUUUUCCCAGAAGUAAAAUAAGUUAAGAGGCCAAGAAAGAACUUACACCUAACUGACUAUAUGUGAUGUUCUAAGAGACUACUUGCUUCUAUUUUUUUGUAUAUUUCUAAACUGACCAUUUAGAAUAUCAUUUAAGUAUUCCCUUACGAAUGGUAUCUUUACGAGGUUCCAGGUAGUUACAUAGGUUUCACAUUAUAGAGGGAAAUUAACAUUUCUAUAAUACCUGACAAAAUGUUUUGAGCCACUUUCUCACUCCAUUCAGGUAAUUCCUUUGCUUUUUCUUCUGAUACUGGUUCACAGGGUACAAUGUGACUAAGAUUAACUUCUUCACUUGAAGUAUCUUUAGCCUAAACAACAACAACAAACCAUUUCAAAAUGUGAAACAGUUAAGUACUAAAAGGCAGAUGAAACUGUAAGCAUUAUGUAACAAAAUAUUAAGCUAAGAAAUAUUAGAUACAAUUAAUGAAAGUAUCUCUGGCCAAUCGAGUUACUGGUACAUUUUAUAACACGAAGUACGAUACAGGAAUUGCCAGAAAGCUGAAAACCACUCUGGUCUUAUAUAAGCCCCAACUAUUAAGUAAGAUUUAAAUAUCAAAAUACCUCCAAAUGUAGCAUUUAUCAAAUCACAUUUAAAUUGAUGAACUUUUUUCUUUCUUGACUAGACUAUGAGUUCCAUCACAUACCUAUCAUCCCAAGAUACUAGUGUGAGCUUUGUACUUACUACGAUGGAAAGAUAUUGUAAAUGACACAACCAGUAAAGUAGGUGCAUCCAAAUAAACUAAUUUUGAUAGAUAAUCAAGUAAAAAUUUAACUUAAAAUAAAUAAAAAUACAUAAACACUGAAAGACCUGCCACCCUAUUUGAAUGGAAAUAGAGAACACAGAUGAACCUGUACUUUAUUAAUUUAACAGCUACUAGAAGAGCUAGGGGCCAACACCCAAAAUCUCAAAGCCAAAUUCACUCUAAGAACUUUGGAGCAAGCUAACUCAGACCUCAUAAGUAUUAUAAAAUAACUUGAAAAUCAAAGUGCCCAAAAUAAAUGCCCUUAAAAUAUAAAAUAACAUUUAAAUGAACAAAAAACACAUUUACAUGGUGGGGGGAGCGGGGGGUUGUGGGAAGCCACCUAUAAGGAAAAUCUAAAAGACAAAUAACUGGGCAAAAUAUUUGCAACUUUCAUCUUUGACAAAGGACCAAUUUCCCUAUAUAUAAAGAACUCACGGAAACUGAGAAGGAAAGGACUAGCGACCCAAUAAUAAAAAUGGACAAAGGACAUGAAUACACAGAAGAUGAAAUACAAAGGACCCCUGAACAUACAGAAAGCAGCUAAACCUUGUUCAUAAGAAAAUCAAUGCAAAUGAAGAUAUUAUAAUAAACCAUUUUUCAUCUCUCAGAUGGCCAGAACACAGAAAGGCUGGCCACCCACUCUGUUGUCCCGGCCCUCUUGCCCACUGCUGGUGGGAGUGCCGCACUGAAUAAUCCUUAGGAAGGGCAGCUUAUUAAAAUACAUCAGAAUUACAAAUGCAAUUAUCUUGUGAUUCAGUAAUCCCACUUCUGAGAAAUUAUCUGAUCAAUUAUCUGCACAUGUAUUAACCAAUGGAUCUACAAAGUUAUUCACUACAGUAUUAUUUCUGAUAGCAAAAAGUUGGAAAUUGCUCCAAGUAUUCCCAAUAAGAAUUUGUUAAAGAAACUAUGCUAUAUACGUACAAAGAAAUACUAUAUAGCUGUGAAAGUCUGGGGAAUUUUCUAUUUUGUGAUAAGGAAAGAUCCCCAGGAUGUGUUAUCAAAUGAAAAAGGUAAAUAAAAUGUAGAACACUCUUCAUAGUAUGUUAAUGUAGGUGUAAGAAAGGGAGAAAAAUUAUAAUAAGGAUUUAUAUUUGC
This is a long non-coding RNA of Choloepus didactylus (southern two-toed sloth), 5938 nucleotides long. RefSeq lists it as uncharacterized. Lineage: Eukaryota; Metazoa; Chordata; Mammalia; Pilosa; Megalonychidae. The transcript has 3 exons. The record is from RefSeq and is a predicted model, not a curated record.